This 468-nucleotide ribosomal RNA is filed under the name uncultured bacterium. RNAcentral describes it as "partial 16S ribosomal RNA". It matches the Rfam family "Bacterial small subunit ribosomal RNA", at positions 28 to 507 of the family's 1533-position model. The record is from RNAcentral.
GACGAACGCUGGCGGCGUGCUUAACACAUGCAAGUCGAACGGAAAGGCCCUGAUUUUGUGGGGUUCUCGAGUGGCGAACGGGUGAGUAACACGUGAGUAACCUGCUCUUGAAUUUGGGAUAACUUCAGGUAACUAGGGCUAAUACCAGAUAGUAGCUCCUGCUGCAUGGUGGGGGUUGGAAAGUUUCGGCGGUUGGGGGUGGACUCGCGGCUUAUCAGAUUGUUGGUGGGGUAGUGGCGUACCAAGGCUUUGACUGGUAGCCGGCCUGUGAGGGUGACCAGGCACAUUGGGACUGAGGGACGGCCCAGACUCCUACGGGAGGCAGCAGUGGGGAAUAUUGCACAAUGGGCGGAAGCCUGAUGAAGCAACGCCGCGUGCGGGAAGACGGCCUUCGGGUUGUAAACCGCGUUCGCCUGUGACGAAGCGUGAGUGACGGUAAUGGGUAAAGAAGCACCGGCUAACUACGUG